Molecule: ribosomal RNA, 253 nt
Filed under: uncultured bacterium
Lineage: Bacteria
Description: partial 16S ribosomal RNA
Rfam family: Bacterial small subunit ribosomal RNA
Source: RNAcentral
UACGGAGGGGGCUAGCGUUAUUCGGAAUUACUGGGCGUAAAGCGCACGUAGGCGGACUGGAAAGUUGGGGGUGAAAGCCCAGGGCUCAACCCUGGAACUGCCUUCAAAACUCCCAGUCUUGAGGUCGAGAGAGGUGAGUGGAAUUCCGAGUGUAGAGGUGAAAUUCGUAGAUAUUCGGAGGAACACCAGUGGCGAAGGCGGCUCACUAGCUCGAUACUGACGCUGAGGUGCGAAAGCGUGGGGAGCAAACAGG